RNAcentral lists this ribosomal RNA (490 nucleotides) under uncultured bacterium. RNAcentral describes it as "bacterial SSU rRNA". It matches the Rfam family "Bacterial small subunit ribosomal RNA", at positions 36 to 518 of the family's 1533-position model. The record is from RNAcentral.
CUGGCGGCGUGCUUAACACAUGCAAGUCGAACGGGGAUCAUCGGGCGGAAGGCUUCGGCCGGAAGGCUGGUGAUUCCAGUGGCGGACGGGUGAGUAACGCGUGAACAAUCUGUCCCAGACAGGGGGAUAACACUUGGAAACAGGUGCUAAUACCGCAUGAGACCACGGUGUCGCAUUGCACAGAGGUAAAAGGAGUAAUCCGGUUUGGGGUGAGUUCGCGUCCGAUUAGCCAGUUGGCGGGGUAACGGCCCACCAAAGCGACGAUCGGUAGCCGACCUGAGAGGGUGAUCGGCCACAUUGGAACUGAGAGACGGUCCAAACUCCUACGGGAGGCAGCAGUGGGGAAUAUUGGGCAAUGGGCGAAAGCCUGAACCCCAGCAACGCCGCGUGAGUGAAGAAGGCCUUCGGGUUGUAAAGCUCUGUUAUAGGGGACGAAGUGCGUGACGGUACCCUAUAAGGAAGCCCCGGCUAACUACGUGCCAGCAGCAGC